UACAGAGGUCUCAAGCGUUGUUCGGAUUCAUUGGGCGUAAAGGGUGCGUAGGCGGCGCGGUAAGUCGGGUGUGAAAUCUCGGAGCUUAACUCCGAAACUGCAUUCGAUACUGCCGUGCUUGAGGACUGGAGAGGAGACUGGAAUUUACGGUGUAGCGGUGAAAUGCGUAGAUAUCGUAAGGAAGACCAGUGGCGAAGGCGGGUCUCUGGGCAGUUCCUGACGCUGAGGCACGAAGGUCAGGGGAGCAAACAGG
This 253-nucleotide ribosomal RNA is filed under the name uncultured bacterium. Its description in RNAcentral is "partial 16S ribosomal RNA". It matches the Rfam family "Bacterial small subunit ribosomal RNA", at positions 524 to 776 of the family's 1533-position model. The record is from RNAcentral.